This 191-nucleotide small nuclear RNA is filed under the name Vulpes vulpes (red fox). RNAcentral describes it as "U2 spliceosomal RNA (ENSVVUG00000013742.1)". It matches the Rfam family "U2 spliceosomal RNA". Rfam says of the family: U2 is a small nuclear RNA (snRNA) component of the spliceosome (involved in pre-mRNA splicing). Complementary binding between U2 snRNA (in an area lying towards the 5' end but 3' to hairpin I) and the branchpoint sequence (BPS) of the intron results the bulging out of an unpaired adenosine, on the BPS, which initiates a nucleophilic attack at the intronic 5' splice site, thus starting the first of two transesterification reactions that mediate splicing. The record is from Rfam by way of RNAcentral. Lineage: Eukaryota; Metazoa; Chordata; Mammalia; Carnivora; Canidae.
AUCACUUCUCAGCCUUUUGACUAAGGUCAAGUGUAGUAUCUGUUCUUAUCAGUUUAAUAUCUGAUAUGUCCUCUAUCCGAGGACAAUAUAUUAAAUGGAUUUUUGGAGCAACAAGAUGGAAUAGGAGCUUGAUCUGUCUACUCCACACCUCAACCUGGUAGUGCAGUACUUCCAGGAAUGGUGCAUCCCGU